GACGAACGCUGGCGGCGUGCCUAAUACAUGCAAGUAGAACGCACAGUUUAUACCGUAGCUUGCUACACCAUAAACUGUGAGUUGCGAACGGGUGAGUAACGCGUAGGUAACCUGCCUGGUAGCGGGGGAUAACUAUUGGAAACGAUAGCUAAUACCGCAUAAUAUUGAUUAUUGCAUGAUAAUUAAUUGAAAGAUGCUAUUGCAUCACUACCAGAUGGACCUGCGUUGUAUUAGCUAGUAGGUGAGGUAACGGCUCACCUAGGCGACGAUACAUAGCCGACCUGAGAGGGUGAUCGGCCACACUGGGACUGAGACACGGCCCAGACUCCUACGGGAGGCAGCAGUAGGGAAUCUUCGGCAAUGGACGAAAGUCUGACCGAGCAACGCCGCGUGAGUGAAGAAAGUUUUCGGAUCGUAAAGCUCUGUUGUAAGAGAAGAACGGGUGUGAGAGUGGAAAGUUCACACUGUGACGGUAUCUUACCAGAAAGGGACGGCUAACUACGUG
RNAcentral lists this ribosomal RNA (505 nucleotides) under uncultured bacterium. RNAcentral describes it as "partial 16S ribosomal RNA". It matches the Rfam family "Bacterial small subunit ribosomal RNA", at positions 28 to 507 of the family's 1533-position model. The record is from RNAcentral.